AGUGAGCGCUGGCGGUAGGCCUAACACAUGCAAGUCGAACGGCAGCACAGUAAGAGCCUGCUCUUACGGGUGGCGAGUGGCGGACGGGUGAGGAAUACAUCGGAAUCUACUUUUUCGUGGGGGAUAACGUAGGGAAACUUACGCUAAUACCGCAUACGACCUACGGGUGAAAUCAGGGGAUCUUCGGACCUUUCGCGAUUGAAUGAGCCGAUGUCGGAUUAGCUAGUUGGCGGGGUAAAGGCCCACCAAGGCGACGAUCCGUAGCUGGUCUGAGAGGAUGAUCAGCCACACUGGAACUGAGACACGGUCCAGACUCCUACGGGAGGCAGCAGUGGGGAAUAUUGGACAAUGGGCGCAAGCCUGAUCCAGCCAUACCGCGUGGGUGAAGAAGGCCUUCGGGUUGUAAAGCCCUUUUGUUGGGAAAGAAAAGCAGCAGGUUAAUACCCCGCUGUUCUGACGGUACCCAAAGAAUAAGCACCGGCUAACUUCGUG
Molecule: ribosomal RNA, 492 nt
Filed under: uncultured bacterium
Lineage: Bacteria
Description: partial 16S ribosomal RNA
Rfam family: Bacterial small subunit ribosomal RNA
Source: RNAcentral